RNAcentral lists this ribosomal RNA (858 nucleotides) under Ditylum brightwellii. Its description in RNAcentral is "partial Bacterial large subunit ribosomal RNA". It matches the Rfam family "Bacterial large subunit ribosomal RNA", at positions 1148 to 1988 of the family's 2925-position model. Lineage: Eukaryota; Bacillariophyta; Thalassiosirophyceae; Lithodesmiales; Lithodesmiaceae. The record is from RNAcentral.
GUCGAGUCGGCCUGCGCGGAAGAUAUACCGGGGCUAAACUGAUAACCGAAGCUGUGGGAGCACACUUGUGUGCUCGGUAGAGGAGCGUUCUGUAAGCGGUUGAAGGUGUGUUGUAAAGCAUGCUGGACGUAUCAGAAGUGCGAAUGCUGACAUGAGUAACGAUAAGAGGGGUGAAAAACCCCUCCGCCGAAAGAUCAAGGUUUCCUGUCCAACGUUAAUCGGGACAGGGUGAGUCGGCCCCUAAGGCGAGGGCGAAAGCCGUAGUCGAUGGGAAAUCGGUUAAAAUUCCGAUACCGAUUUUUACUGCGAUGGAGUGACGGAGAAGGCUAGGCUAGCACGGCGAUGGUUGUCCGUGUUCAAGCGUGUAGGUAGGGGGAUUAGGUAAAUCCGGUCCCUCGUUAAUCUGAGACGUGAUAACGAUCUCCUGGGGAAACCCUCGAGAGAAGUAGUCGAUGCCAUACUUCCAGGAAAAACUUCUAAGCUUCAGGUAAAAAUCGACCGUACUGUAAACCGACACAGGUGAUCAGGUAGAGAAUACCAAGGCGCUUGAGAGAACUUGGGUGAAGGAACUAGGCAAAAUGGCACCGUAACUUCGGGAGAAGGUGCGCCGGUGAGGGUGAAGGACUUGCUCCGUAAGCUCAUGCCGGUCGAAGAUACAGGGCGCUGCGACUGUUUAUUAAAAACACAGCACUCUGCAAACACGAAAGUGGACGUAUAGGGUGUGAUGCCUGCCCGGUGCUGGAAGGUUAAUUGAUGGGGUCAGCCGCAAGGCGAAGCUCUUGAUCGAAGCCCCAGUAAAACGGCCGUAACAAUAACGGUCCUAAGGUAGCGAAAUUCCUUGUCGGGUAAGUUCCGACC